RNAcentral lists this long non-coding RNA (959 nucleotides) under Cricetulus griseus (Chinese hamster). Its description in RNAcentral is "lncRNA (ENSCGRG00015041628.1)". The record is from RNAcentral. Lineage: Eukaryota; Metazoa; Chordata; Mammalia; Rodentia; Cricetidae.
UGCACGCCCACCCCCAAUCCUUCCCCCCAACACGGGGGGUGGUGGGGGGCAAAAACAACCCGGGGCGCUGACGUCACCCAGGCGGAGGCGCCUACCGCUGUACCCGUAGGUACAUAAACUACAGGCUGAGCCCGGUGUGCAUACUUGUAACCUCAACUGUUCCGGUGGCCGAACCAGGAGAAUCACAAGUGUGAGACUGGCCUGCUUAGACUACAGAGUGACUUCAAGGCUAAAUUGAGCAACUUAAUGAGAUUGGCUCUCAAAAGAGUGAAAAAGAGCUGGGCAUGCAGCUUAGAAUCAAAGUAUUUCUCCAGCGUGUGUGAGCCUGAGGUUCAAUCCCCAGGACUGGGAAACAAAAACAAAGAAAUAAGAAAAGCUAACUGACUUCAUUUUCAUUUUGAGAGCAUCACUGCCCAUCACAGGAAAACAGUUCAUACAUCUGAAGAUGCCAAGAGGAACAAGUGAGUGGCAGUCUCCACAUCUCAGGGACAAACUUCUGGUUUGGGGAAUAGUUGUGCAUCGAGUGGGACUUCUGCUCCAGAUUUCCACAGGGAUAUCUCCUAUGUAUCCACUUUUUUUGGCUGGCGGGGGGCACUUCUGAGACAGGGUUUCUCUGUGGCUUUGGAGCCUGUUCUAGAACUAGCUCUUGUAGACCAGGCUGGUCUCGAACUCACAGAGAUCUGCCUGCCUCUGCCUCCCCAGUGCUGGGAUUAAAGGCAUUCACCACCACUGCCCAGCCAUAUAUCCACUUUUCAUUUGAAGAUUCCUGCAUGUUGGCAGACUAGUGUUACAGUAAGUCUUUACUCCAUCCGCCCCGCCUCCAUGUGGGCACCCAGAAUAACACACAGAGUCCUAUAUUAGUUUACAAUGCUGCUGGCCAAUUGACUAGGAUUUCUUAUAUGCUAGCUCAGUCUUAAUUAUCAGAAAUCUAUAUAUUUUAUAAGACUUAUCUUAUCGAG